Nicotiana tabacum (common tobacco) is the source of this 464-nucleotide non-coding RNA. NCBI's taxonomy places the organism in Eukaryota, Viridiplantae, Streptophyta, Magnoliopsida, Solanales, Solanaceae. The record is from RefSeq and is a predicted model, not a curated record.
UAGAGAGUAGGUGCCGUCACGAGUCUUACGGAGAGGGAGAAUUGGGUCGAGACAGCUAUACUUCAACGUAUUCGGUGGAGUUCGUGUCAGAUUUGCAGAGGCUUUGCCUUGAAUAACUGGACCUCUUUCACCAUGAACUUUCAGCCUAGAGUUUUUAUCACUAUAAGAGUACUCCCAGAUGGCGAAAGAGAACUCAAACAUGUGAGAUUCAGGAAAAUAUGGGUGAUAGCAAUUGGAUAUGGCGGACAAAAGUUAAUUGAUCUAUUGGAGUACAUGAUAAAGACUUUUUGAGUAAUUGUGAUGUUUAUUAUUAUGAUACUAUAGGAAAACAUUCAGUUUAUAGAGUUCGUUGUUAGUGCACAUGUUGAAAUAUUGUUUAUUAGUAUGUAUAGAAUACGAAAUAUGUUUCUGUUAUAAAAUAAAAGCAAUUUAGUGAAACAUGAACAAGACAUGUUGUUAUGAAA